AAAUUGAAGAGUUUGAUCAUGGCUCAGAUUGAACGCUGGCGGCAGGCCUAACACAUGCAAGUCGAACGGUAACAGAAAGCAGCUUGCUGCUUUGCUGACGAGUGGCGGACGGGUGAGUAAUGUCUGGGAAACUGCCCGAUGGAGGGGGAUAACUACUGGAAACGGUAGCUAAUACCGCAUAACGUCGCAAGACCAAAGAGGGGGACCUUAGGGCCU
Molecule: ribosomal RNA, 216 nt
Filed under: Escherichia coli
Lineage: Bacteria; Pseudomonadati; Pseudomonadota; Gammaproteobacteria; Enterobacterales; Enterobacteriaceae
Also listed under: 1 other name
Description: partial 16S ribosomal RNA
Rfam family: Bacterial small subunit ribosomal RNA
Source: RNAcentral